Molecule: ribosomal RNA, 152 nt
Filed under: uncultured eukaryote
Lineage: Eukaryota
Description: partial 18S ribosomal RNA
Rfam family: Eukaryotic small subunit ribosomal RNA
Source: RNAcentral
UGGUGGAGUGAUUUGUCUGGUUAAUUCCGUUAACGAGCGAGACGCUCAACUGCUAUGUUUGUGGGCUAUUCCAAAUCAUGGCGCAAGCCAUGGCAGCCGCACAACAGCAGGACUAUCGGUUGUCAAGCCGAAGGAAGGGUGAGGCAAUAACA